This 578-nucleotide ribosomal RNA is filed under the name uncultured bacterium. RNAcentral describes it as "bacterial SSU rRNA". It matches the Rfam family "Bacterial small subunit ribosomal RNA", at positions 102 to 694 of the family's 1533-position model. The record is from RNAcentral.
ACGGGUGAGUAACACGUGAGUAACCUGCCCUUGACUCUGGGAUAAGCGUUGGAAACGACGUCUAAUACCGGAUACGAGCUUCCACCGCAUGGUGAGUUGCUGGAAAGAAUUUUGGUCAAGGAUGGACUCGCGGCCUAUCAGCUUGUUGGUGAGGUAAUGGCUCACCAAGGCGACGACGGGUAGCCGGCCUGAGAGGGUGACCGGCCACACUGGGACUGAGACACGGCCCAGACUCCUACGGGAGGCAGCAGUGGGGAAUAUUGCACAAUGGGCGAAAGCCUGAUGCAGCAACGCCGCGUGAGGGACGACGGCCUUCGGGUUGUAAACCUCUUUUAGCAGGGAAGAAGCGAAAGUGACGGUACCUGCAGAAAAAGCACCGGCUAACUACGUGCCAGCAGCCGCGGUAAUACGUAGGGUGCAAGCGUUGUCCGGAAUUAUUGGGCGUAAAGAGCUCGUAGGCGGUUUGUCGCGUCUGCUGUGAAAUCCCGAGGCUCAACCUCGGGUCUGCAGUGGGUACGGGCAGACUAGAGUGCGGUAGGGGAGAUUGGAAUUCCUGGUGUAGCGGUGGAAUGCGCAGA